This 716-nucleotide long non-coding RNA is filed under the name Gallus gallus (chicken). RNAcentral's name for it is "long non-coding RNA NONGGAT003571". Lineage: Eukaryota; Metazoa; Chordata; Aves; Galliformes; Phasianidae. The record is from RNAcentral.
UAGAAACUUGUUAGCACGUCUGUAGAGCUCUUCCUUUCGUGUCGCCUUUUGCUUCUGAAGUGCUGCUGCAGUUGACAUUCUGGCAGCCCCUGCUUUGCGAGGCCCAAACCAGUGUGUGACUGAAACCGCUGGGCCACAAGUGAGAGCUGAGCGAAACGCCGCCGGGUUCCUUCCACAGAGACACAUCUCCGCUGUGCCUGUGGUGCUCAGCCCCAGAACCCCGCACAGCACAGAGGCGGCCGUGAGGGAACAGCAGCAUCGCGCCGUGAGGAUCACUGCUUCACAGCACAGAGGUGGCCUCAGAAGGCUGAGAAGUGUCAGAAGUGCAGCUCAUAGAGAGGAGUGCACAGCUGGAAACACUGCAAAAAAGGAACACGUCCUUCGGGUAUCAGGUUUAUCAGCAACAGGCUCCGCUCCAUGUGCUCGGGAAAGACUAAUGCUGCAAUGCCCGUGCUGCAGAGUGACUUUGCGGGGUGGAAGGACGGAGAGCACAGACAUGCAGUCCUGGGUGUCCCAUGGGAGUAGGCUGCAUUGCCCAGCCCCUGCCUGGGUGCCCUGAGCUAGGAGGAUCUCACCAUCACUGGGACCCUUACCAGAGGCACAGGAGGACACAGAGGACAAUAAGAAUAUUUUGUCUGUGCACCCAGGAGGCAGGGCUGGCUCCUGCACCUUUUCCAGCUGCUUUACUCCAGGUUCCCUCUAGAGAAAUAAAUCCU